This 253-nucleotide ribosomal RNA is filed under the name uncultured bacterium. RNAcentral's name for it is "partial 16S ribosomal RNA". It matches the Rfam family "Bacterial small subunit ribosomal RNA", at positions 524 to 776 of the family's 1533-position model. The record is from RNAcentral.
UACGGAGGGGGCUAGCGUUGUUCGGAAUUACUGGGCGUAAAGCGCACGUAGGCGGUUUUGUAAGUUAGAGGUGAAAGCCCGGAGCUCAACUCCGGAAUUGCCUUUAAGACUGCAUCACUUGAACGUCGGAGAGGUGAGUGGAAUUCCGAGUGUAGAGGUGAAAUUCGUAGAUAUUCGGAAGAACACCAGUGGCGAAGGCGGCUCACUGGACUGGUAUUGACGCUGAGGUGCGAGAGCGUGGGGAGCAAACAGG